RNAcentral lists this ribosomal RNA (389 nucleotides) under uncultured bacterium. RNAcentral describes it as "bacterial SSU rRNA". It matches the Rfam family "Bacterial small subunit ribosomal RNA", at positions 28 to 417 of the family's 1533-position model. The record is from RNAcentral.
GACGAACGCUGGCGGCGUGCUUAACACAUGCAAGUCGAGCGGUAAGGCCCGUUUCGGGGGUACACGAGCGGCGAACGGGUGAGUAACACGUGGGUGACCUGCCCUUAGCUCUGGGAUAAGCCUGGGAAACUGGGUCUAAUACCGGAUAUGACUCCAUGACGCAUGUUGUGGGGUGGAAAGCCUUGUGCGGCUAGGGAUGGGCCCGCGGCCUAUCAGCUUGUUGGUGGGGUGAUGGCCUACCAAGGCGACGACGGGUAGCCGGCCUGAGAGGGCGACCGGCCACACUGGGACUGAGACACGGCCCAGACUCCUACGGGAGGCAGCAGUGGGGAAUCUUGCGCAAUGGGCGAAAGCCUGACGCAGCGACGCCGCGUGAGGGAUGACGGCCU